RNAcentral lists this ribosomal RNA (484 nucleotides) under uncultured bacterium. Its description in RNAcentral is "partial 16S ribosomal RNA". It matches the Rfam family "Bacterial small subunit ribosomal RNA", at positions 30 to 507 of the family's 1533-position model. The record is from RNAcentral.
AUUGAACGCUGGCCGCAGGCCUAACACAUGCAAGUCGAGCGGAUGAAGGGAGCUUGCUCCUGGAUUCAGCGGCGGACGGGUGAGUAAUGCCUAGGAAUCUGCCUGGUAGUGGGGGAUAACGUCCGGAAACGGGCGCUAAUACCGCAUACGUCCUGAGGGAGAAAGUGGGGGAUCUUCGGACCUCACGCUAUCAGAUGAGCCUAGGUCGGAUUAGCUAGUUGGUGGGGUAAAGGCCUACCAAGGCGACGAUCCGUAACUGGUCUGAGAGGAUGAUCAGUCACACUGGAACUGAGACACGGUCCAGACUCCUACGGGAGGAAGCAGUGGGGAAUAUUGGAGAAUGGGCGAAAGCCUGAUCCAGCCAUGCCGCGUGUGUGAAGAAGGUCUUCGGAUUGUAAAGCACUUUAAGUUGGGAGGAAGGGCAGUAAGUUAAUACCUUGCUGUUUUGACGUUACCAACAGAAUAAGCACCGGCUAACUUCGUG